ACUCAAAUGAAUUGACGGGAACCUGCACAAACGGAGGAUUAUGGGGAUUAAUUCGAUGCAACGCGAAGAACCUUACCAGGGAUUGACAUGUCUAGAAUUUCUCAGAAAUGGGAAAGUGCUAUACUUAUUUAAGAAGUAUAGAGCUAGAACACAGGUGGUGCAUGGCUGUCGUCAGCUCGUGCGUUGACGUGUAUGGUUCAGUCCUGCAACGAGCGCAACCCUCGUCCUUAGUUACCUUUUAGGUUCUCUAAGGAGACUGCGCGCGCAAGCGCUGAGGAAGGUGAGGAUGACGUCAAGUCAGCAUGCCCCUUACACCCUGGGCGUCACCCGUAAUACAAUGGUUGGGACAAUCAGAUGCUACCCCGCGAGGGCACGCAAAUCUGCUAAACUCAACCCCAGUUCGGAUUGUAGGCUGCAACUCGCCUACAUGAAGCCGGAUUCGUUAGUAAUCGCCGAUCAGCCAAGCGGCGGUGAAUACGUUCCCAGGUUUUGUACACACCGCCCGU
This 506-nucleotide ribosomal RNA is filed under the name uncultured bacterium. Its description in RNAcentral is "partial 16S ribosomal RNA". It matches the Rfam family "Bacterial small subunit ribosomal RNA", at positions 899 to 1397 of the family's 1533-position model. The record is from RNAcentral.